RNAcentral lists this ribosomal RNA (253 nucleotides) under uncultured bacterium. RNAcentral describes it as "partial 16S ribosomal RNA". It matches the Rfam family "Bacterial small subunit ribosomal RNA", at positions 524 to 776 of the family's 1533-position model. The record is from RNAcentral.
UACGAAGGGGGCGAGCGUUGUUCGGAUUUACUGGGCGUAAAGGGCGCGCAGGCGGCUAUCCAAGUCAGGCGUGAAAGCCCCGGGCUUAACCUGGGAGGUGCGUCUGGGACUGAGUGGCUAGAGUUCGGGAGAGGAGAGUGGAAUUCCCAGUGUAGAGGUGAAAUUCGUAGAUAUUGGGAAGAACACCGGUGGCGAAGGCGGCUCUCUGGACCGAGACUGACGCUGAGGCGCGAAAGCGUGGGGAGCAAACAGG